This 253-nucleotide ribosomal RNA is filed under the name uncultured bacterium. Its description in RNAcentral is "partial 16S ribosomal RNA". It matches the Rfam family "Bacterial small subunit ribosomal RNA", at positions 524 to 776 of the family's 1533-position model. The record is from RNAcentral.
UACAGAGGUCCCAAGCGUUGUUCGGAUUUACUGGGCGUAAAGGGUGCGUAGGCGGUCGGGUAAGUCUGAUGUGAAAUCUCACAGCUUAACUGUGAAACUGCAUUGGAUACUAUCCGGCUCGAGGAAUGGAGGGGAGACUGGAAUACUUGGUGUAGCAGUGAAAUGCGUAGAUAUCUGGAGGAACACCGGUGGCGAAGGCGGCAUCCUGGACCAAUUCUGACGCUGAGGAGCGAAAGCCAGGGGAGCAAACGGG